This 484-nucleotide ribosomal RNA is filed under the name uncultured bacterium. RNAcentral's name for it is "partial 16S ribosomal RNA". It matches the Rfam family "Bacterial small subunit ribosomal RNA", at positions 28 to 523 of the family's 1533-position model. The record is from RNAcentral.
GACGAACGCUGGCGGCGUGCUUAGCACAUGCAAGUCGAACGAUGAAGCCGGAGCUUGCUCUGGUGAAUUAGUGGCGAACGGGUGAGUAACACGUGAGUAACCUGCCCUUGACUCUGGGAUAACUGCUAGAAAUGGUAGCUAAUACCGGAUACGACCCUCGGAGGCAUCUUCAGGGGGUGGAAAGAAUUUCGGUCAAGGAUGGACUCGCGGCCUAUCAGCUAGUUGGUGAGGUAAUGGCUCACCAAGGCGACGACGGGUAGCCGGCCUGAGAGGGUGACCGGCCACACUGGGACUGUGACACGGCACAGACGCCUACGGGAGGCAGCAGUGGGGAAUAUUGCACAAUGGGCGCAAGCCUGAUGCAGCAACGCCGCGUGAGGGAUGACGGCCUUCGGGUUGUAAACCUCUUUUAGUAGGGAAGAAGCGAAAGUGACGGUACCUGCAGAAAAAGCACCGGCUAACUACGUGCCAGCCGCCGCGGUAA